CAGAGGUCUCAACCGUUGUUCGGAUUCAUUGGGCGUAAAGGGUGCGUAGGCGGUCGCGCAAGUCGGAUGUGAAAUCUUAGGGCUCAACCCUGAAACUGCAUUCGAUACUGCGUGGCUCGAGUACUGGAGAGGAGACUGGAAUUUACGGUGUAGCAGUGAAAUGCGUAGAUAUCGUAAGGAAGACCAGUGGCGAAGGCGAGUCUCUGGACAGUUACUGACGCUGAGGCACGAAGGCCAGGGGAGCAAACGGG
Molecule: ribosomal RNA, 251 nt
Filed under: uncultured bacterium
Lineage: Bacteria
Description: partial 16S ribosomal RNA
Rfam family: Bacterial small subunit ribosomal RNA
Source: RNAcentral